UGGCUCAGUGGUUAAGAGCACUGACUGCUCCUCCAGAGGACCUGGGUUCAAUUCCCAG
RNAcentral lists this transfer RNA (58 nucleotides) under Mesocricetus auratus (golden hamster). It matches the Rfam family "tRNA", at positions 8 to 63 of the family's 71-position model. Rfam says of the family: Transfer RNA (tRNA) molecules are approximately 80 nucleotides in length. Lineage: Eukaryota; Metazoa; Chordata; Mammalia; Rodentia; Cricetidae. RNAcentral also lists the same sequence under 2 other names. The record is from Rfam by way of RNAcentral.